RNAcentral lists this long non-coding RNA (232 nucleotides) under Ananas comosus (pineapple). RNAcentral's name for it is "long non-coding RNA (ACOM_LNC029916)". The record is from RNAcentral. Lineage: Eukaryota; Viridiplantae; Streptophyta; Magnoliopsida; Poales; Bromeliaceae.
UUUAGUUUUAACUUUGUCACUGAUUUAACGAAAAAAAUUAGUGAAAAAAAAUAACAAAAAAAAAUAAAUAAAAAUACAGGAUAUGAAAGUGAUACAUUUUAAAUUAUAGAAUACUAAAGUAAAAAAGUGUGAAACCACAUGAGUGGUAUUUGAAGUUUUUUUUUUAUUUUUAUGUCCAGAAAAUAAUUAUAUAAUUUGAAGUAAUAUCAAUUUAUAUAGUUUUUUUUUUUUU